AUGGCUCAGGAUGAACGCUAGCGGCAGGCUUAACACAUGCAAGUCGAGGGGCAGCGGGGAGGAAGCUUGCUUUCUCCGCCGGCGACCGGCGCACGGGUGAGUAACACGUAUGCAACCUGCCCCUGUCAGGGGGACAACCCGCCGAAAGGCGGGCUAAACCCGCGUACAUGCCACCGGGGCAUCCCGGAGGCAGGAAAGGCUUCGGCCGGACAGGGAUGGGCAUGCGGCGCAUUAGGCAGUAGGCGGGGUAACGGCCCACCUAACCGACGAUGCGUAGGGGUUCUGAGAGGAAGGUCCCCCACACUGGUACUGAGACACGGACCAGACUCCUACGGGAGGCAGCAGUGAGGAAUAUUGGUCAAUGGUCGGGAGACUGAACCAGCCAAGCCGCGUGAGGGAGGAAGGUACAGAGUAUCGUAAACCUCUUUUGUCAGGGAACAAAGACUGGGACGCGUCCCCGGAUGAGUGUACCUGAAGAAAAAGCAUCGGCUAACUCCGUGCCAGCAGCCGCGGUAAUACGGAGGAUGCGAGCGUUAUCCGGAUUUAUUGGGUUUAAAGGGUGCGCAGGCGGUCUGUUAAGUCAGCGGUCAAAGCCCGGGGCUCAACCCCGGCCCGCCGUUGAAACUGGCAGUCUCGAGUUGGAGAGAAGUAUGCGGAAUGCGCGGUGUAGCGGUGAAAUGCAUAGAUAUCGCGCAGAACUCCGAUUGCGAAGGCAGCAUGCCGGCUCCACACUGACGCUGAGGCACGAAAGCGUGGGUAUCGAACAGGAUUAGAUACCCUGGUAGUCCACGCAGUAAACGAUGAAUGCUGGCUGUCCGGGGGGACUGACCCCUGGGUGGCGAAGCGAAAGCGAUAAGCAUUCCACCUGGGGAGUACGCCGGCAACGGUGAAACUCAAAGGAAUUGACGGGGGCCCGCACAAGCGGAGGAACAUGUGGUUUAAUUCGAUGAUACGCGAGGAACCUUACCCGGGCUCAAACGGGGAGUGACUCAGGCAGAGACGCCUGUUUCCCACGGGACACUCCCCGAGGUGCUGCAUGGUUGUCGUCAGCUCGUGCCGUGAGGUGUCGGCUUAAGUGCCAUAACGAGCGCAACCCCCGCGUGCAGUUGCUAACAGAUAACGCUGAGGACUCUGCACGGACUGCCGGCGCAAGCCGCGAGGAAGGCGGGGAUGACGUCAAAUCAGCACGGCCCUUACGUCCGGGGCGACACACGUGUUACAAUGGGUGGUACAGCGGGAAGCCAGGCGGCGACGCCGAGCGGAACCCAAAAUCCACUCUCAGUUCGGAUCGGAGUCUGCAACCCGACUCCGUGAAGCUGGAUUCGCUAGUAAUCGCGCAUCAGCCAUGGCGCGGUGAAUACGUUCCCGGGCCUUGUACACACCGCCCGUCAAGCCAUGGGAGCCGAGGGCGCUUGAAGUGCGUCGCCGCGAGGCGCGCCCUAGAGCGAAAUCGGUGACUGGGGCUAAGUCGUAACAAGGUA
Molecule: ribosomal RNA, 1481 nt
Filed under: uncultured bacterium
Lineage: Bacteria
Description: partial 16S ribosomal RNA
Rfam family: Bacterial small subunit ribosomal RNA
Source: RNAcentral